UACGAAGGGGGCUAGCGUUGUUCGGAUUCAUUGGGCGUAAAGGGUGCGUAGGUGGCGGGGCAAGUUUGGUGUGAAAUCCCGGGGCUCAACCCCGGAACUGCACUGAAUACUGCCUUGCUAGAGCACUGGAGAGGGAACUGGAAUUUACGGUGUAGCAGUGAAAUGCGUAGAUAUCGUAAGGAAGACCAGUGGCGAAGGCGAGUUCCUGGACAGUUGCUGACACUGAGGCACGAAGGCUAGGGGAGCAAACGGG
This 253-nucleotide ribosomal RNA is filed under the name uncultured bacterium. RNAcentral's name for it is "partial 16S ribosomal RNA". It matches the Rfam family "Bacterial small subunit ribosomal RNA", at positions 524 to 776 of the family's 1533-position model. The record is from RNAcentral.